GACGAACGCUGGCGGCGUGCCUAAUACAUGCAAGUAGAACGCAGUUUCGAACGGGUGAGUAACGCGUAUGUAACUGCCUCAUAGCGGGGGAUAACUAUUGGAAACGAUAGCUAAUACCGCAUACUUUGACAUGGAUCUGCUUUGUAUUAGCUAGUUGGUGAGGUAAAGGCUCACCAAGGCGCCGAUACAUAGUCGGGCUGAGAGGGGGAUCGGCCAAACUGGGACUGAGACACGGGCCAGACUCCUAAGGGAGGCAGCAAGAGGGGAACUUCGGCAAUGGAGGGAAGGCUGGACAAGCAAAGCCGCGUGAGAGGAGAAGGUUUUCGGAUCGUAAAGCUCUGUUGUUAGAGAAGCGUUAACUAAACAGAAAGGGACGGCUAACUACGUGCCAGCAGCCGCGGUAAUAC
RNAcentral lists this ribosomal RNA (407 nucleotides) under uncultured bacterium. RNAcentral's name for it is "partial 16S ribosomal RNA". It matches the Rfam family "Bacterial small subunit ribosomal RNA", at positions 28 to 526 of the family's 1533-position model. The record is from RNAcentral.